Non-coding RNA from Acanthosepion pharaonis, 113 nucleotides. The record is from the annotation of a GenBank genome assembly. NCBI's taxonomy places the organism in Eukaryota, Metazoa, Mollusca, Cephalopoda, Sepiida, Sepiidae.
UUACGGCCACAUCACGUUGAAACACCGGUUCCGCACAAUCACCGAAGUUAAGCAACGUCGAUCCUGGUUAGUACCUAGAUGGGUGACCGUUUGGGAAUACCAGGUACUGUAAG